UGGGUAAAGGAUAAGGGACAUUUUAGCCACAUUCCGGGUAUAUCCCCUAAAAUUCCUCCAGCUCACCCGAUCUGCCAAGAGAUGGCGGGCGCUUCUUGAUUUGCACAUUGUAUCAGUGAUUGGUCAAUCUGGCACCAUCCUGCUACGAGCGCUCAUCUGGGAAACAUAAAGAAGAUCGAAGGACCGGAUCGGCAAGGGAUCGGGGGUCGGGAAAGUCAAGUUUUUUCCUGCCGGGCUGAUGGUUUGGGGUCUACGUCAUCUUCAUCAUCAUCAUCAUCAUCAUCAUCAUCAUCAUCAUCAUCACUAUCAUUAUGGCAUCUCCAGCACCUUAGACAAUGAGGCCCUUUGUUACUGCUGGUGAUAGAACCAUUAUUGCCCCUGAUUGAGGAGAUAAAGUAUCAACUAUAUAUUUAUUAUUAUUAUUAUAUUUAUUAUUUAUUUAUAUAGCGCCCUUGGUUCCAGGACACUUUACAUAUGAUUCAACAAAUACAAUGAAUUCACACCCGGAAUAUAGCACAAGGGUAGAAGUGUGACUAACGGGGUCAGCAGUGGAAAGUUCUAUGUAUAGAAGAUGUGUGCGCUGAUCUAUACUACUGGAAAUGAUAAGACACAACAUAACAUGGACGCAAUACAACAUCCCCUGCAGAGACGUAAGAGCGAGCGCGCACAAUAGACAAGGUGGAGGAAAUCAUCGAGAACGGCCUCGGGGGGGAACAUUCCUACAAUAAGAACCAGACAAGGCUGGUGCGAUAACACGCGGGCAGGAAACCCGCAGCCCCCCCAGACCGAGCCUUUCAUGUGGGAAACGUAAGAUCUGGAACAAAAUGGCGGCAAUUUAUUACAGGAAGGAGGACGCGGCCUUGAAAUAACAGCACGUGCGGGGUCACAUGACAACUAUGGAGACAAUGGGAACCCCGAGUCAUCUACACGCACGUCCCCCCAGAU
This is a long non-coding RNA of Hyla sarda, 945 nucleotides long. RefSeq lists it as uncharacterized. The record is from RefSeq and is a predicted model, not a curated record. The transcript is spliced from 4 exons. Lineage: Eukaryota; Metazoa; Chordata; Amphibia; Anura; Hylidae.